This is a non-coding RNA of Triticum aestivum (bread wheat), 134 nucleotides long. The record is from Rfam. NCBI's taxonomy places the organism in Eukaryota, Viridiplantae, Streptophyta, Magnoliopsida, Poales, Poaceae.
UAAAUAAUCCCUCCAUCCCAAAUUCGUGUCUUACAUUUGUCUAAAUACAGAUGUAUAUAGUUACGUUUUAGUGUUAGAUACAUCCAUAUCUAGACAAAUUUAAGACAAGAAUUUUGGGGCGGAGGGAGUAUCUA